GAUGAACGCUGGCGGCGUGCCUAAUACAUGCAAGUCGAGCGAACAGACGAGGAGCUUGCUCCUCUGACGUUAGCGGCGGACGGGUGAGUAACACGUGGAUAACCUACCUAUAAGACUGGGAUAACUUCGGGAAACCGGAGCUAAUACCGGAUAAUAUAUUGAACCGCAUGGUUCAAUAGUGAAAGACGGUUUUGCUGUCACUUAUAGAUGGAUCCGCGCCGCAUUAGCUAGUUGGUAAGGUAACGGCUUACCAAGGCAACGAUGCGUAGCCGACCUGAGAGGGUGAUCGGCCACACUGGAACUGAGACACGGUCCAGACUCCUACGGGAGGCAGCAGUAGGGAAUCUUCCGCAAUGGGCGAAAGCCUGACGGAGCAACGCCGCGUGAGUGAUGAAGGUCUUCGGAUCGUAAAACUCUGUUAUAAGGGAAGAACAAAUGUGUAAGUAACUAUGCACGUCUUGACGGUACCUAAUCAGAAAGCCACGGCUAACUACGUG
This 497-nucleotide ribosomal RNA is filed under the name uncultured bacterium. RNAcentral's name for it is "partial 16S ribosomal RNA". It matches the Rfam family "Bacterial small subunit ribosomal RNA", at positions 28 to 507 of the family's 1533-position model. The record is from RNAcentral.